GGUUCAGGAUGAACGCUAGCGACAGGCCUAACACAUGCAAGUCAGGGGCAGCACAAGGAGCAAUCUGAGGUGGCGACCGGCGCACGGGUGAGUAACACGUAUGCAACCUGCCUGUAAGCGGGGAAUAACCCGUUGAAAGACGGACUAAUACCGCAUAAUACUAAAUUACUGCAUGGUAAUUUAUUUAAACAUUUAUGGCUUACAGAUGGGCAUGCGCAUGAUUAGCUAGUUGGAGAGGUAACGGCUCCCCAAGGCAACGAUCAUUAGGGGUUCUGAGAGGAAGGUCCCCCCACACUGGUACUGAGACACGGACCAGACUCCUACGGGAGGCAGCAGUGAGGAAUAUUGGUCAAUGGACGAGAGUCUGAACCAGCCAAGUCGCGUGCAGGAAGAAUGUCCUAUGGAUUGUAAACUGCUUUUGCAGGGGAAUAAAGUGCAUCACGUGUGAUGUUUUGUAUGUACUCUGCGAAUAAGGAUCGGCUAACUCCGUGCCAGCCGCGGC
Molecule: ribosomal RNA, 502 nt
Filed under: uncultured bacterium
Lineage: Bacteria
Description: bacterial SSU rRNA
Rfam family: Bacterial small subunit ribosomal RNA
Source: RNAcentral